This 253-nucleotide ribosomal RNA is filed under the name uncultured bacterium. RNAcentral's name for it is "partial 16S ribosomal RNA". It matches the Rfam family "Bacterial small subunit ribosomal RNA", at positions 524 to 776 of the family's 1533-position model. The record is from RNAcentral.
UACAGAGGUCCCAAGCGUUGUUCGGAUUUACUGGGCGUAAAGGGUGCGUAGGUGGUAGGGUAAGUUUAAGGUGAAAUCUCCGGGCCUAACCCGGAAAAUGCCUCGAAUACUAUCUUGCUAGAGGAUUGGAUGAGGGACUGGAAUUCUCGGUGUAGCAGUGAAAUGCGUAGAUAUCGAGAGGAACACCAGUGGCGAAAGCGAGUCCCUGGACAACUCCUGACACUGAGGCACGAAAGCUAGGGGAGCAAACGGG